GCGGAUGUAGCUCAGUUGGUUAGAGCGCCUGAUUGUGGUCCAGGAGGUCGGGAGUUCAAUUCUCCUCAUUCGCCCCA
This 77-nucleotide transfer RNA is filed under the name Candidatus Saccharimonadota bacterium. Its description in RNAcentral is "tRNA-His". It matches the Rfam family "tRNA". From Rfam's summary of the family: Transfer RNA (tRNA) molecules are approximately 80 nucleotides in length. The record is from RNAcentral. Lineage: Bacteria; Candidatus Saccharimonadota.